UGUGCCUACGGGGGGCAGCAGUGGGGAAUAUUGGGCAAUGGGCGCAAGCCUGACCCAGCAACGCCGCGUGAAGGAAGAAGGCUUUCGGGUUGUAAACUUCUUUUAUUGAGGACGAAACAAAUGACGGUACUCAAUGAAUAAGCCACGGCUAACUACGUGCCAGCAGCCGCGGUAAUACGUAGGUGGCAAGCGUUAUCCGGAUUUACUGGGUGUAAAGGGCGUGCAGCCGGGAAGACAAGUCAGAUGUGAAAUCCCGCGGCUCAACCGCGGAACUGCAUUUGAAACUGUUUUUCUUGA
This 297-nucleotide ribosomal RNA is filed under the name uncultured bacterium. RNAcentral's name for it is "partial 16S ribosomal RNA". It matches the Rfam family "Bacterial small subunit ribosomal RNA", at positions 334 to 645 of the family's 1533-position model. The record is from RNAcentral.